UACGAAGGGGGCUAGCGUUGCUCGGAAUCACUGGGCGUAAAGCGCACGUAGGCGGAUUGCUAAGUCAGGGGUGAAAUCCUGGAGCUCAACUCCAGAACUGCCUUUGAUACUGGCGACCUUGAGUCCGGGAGAGGUGAGUGGAACUGCGAGUGUAGAGGUGAAAUUCGUAGAUAUUCGCAAGAACACCAGUGGCGAAGGCGUCUCACUGGCCCGGUACUGACGCUGAGGUGCGAAAGCGUGGGGAGCAAACAGG
RNAcentral lists this ribosomal RNA (253 nucleotides) under uncultured bacterium. RNAcentral's name for it is "partial 16S ribosomal RNA". It matches the Rfam family "Bacterial small subunit ribosomal RNA", at positions 524 to 776 of the family's 1533-position model. The record is from RNAcentral.